AAAAUAACCAAAAAUGAAAAAAAUGAUUUUAAAAAAGUGAGAAAAAUGUAUGUGAUACAAAAUACUUUUAGAGACCUUGUGUAAAUAAUUUGGAUCAAAAUGGAUUAAAAAUGAGUGCAAAAUUAAUUUAGAAAUAAAAGGAAUAAAAUAAAAUAAAAUAAAAAGAACUUAGGGUGCAAACGGCUACUAAAAUUAAAAAAAAA
RNAcentral lists this long non-coding RNA (203 nucleotides) under Lathyrus oleraceus (garden pea). RNAcentral's name for it is "Pisum sativum (pea) long non-coding RNA (PSAT_LNC024739)". Lineage: Eukaryota; Viridiplantae; Streptophyta; Magnoliopsida; Fabales; Fabaceae. The record is from RNAcentral.